This 816-nucleotide long non-coding RNA is filed under the name Triticum aestivum (bread wheat). RNAcentral's name for it is "long non-coding RNA (TAES_LNC011778)". The record is from RNAcentral. Lineage: Eukaryota; Viridiplantae; Streptophyta; Magnoliopsida; Poales; Poaceae.
UUCACUAACAGAUAGUGUUUUAAUUACAUUAUAUUGGUACAAUCGUACACACACAGGAAAAGGUUAAGCAAAAAAAUAUGACAUAUAGACAUGAAAAGGGAAAAAGGAGACCUGUAGGUCGAAGCAUGUUGCCGUUGUGGAGGAAGACGACGACAUGUCGGGCUUCCUCGAGUGGGAACAGCGACGAAGUCUGGCUUGCACGAUUGAGGAAGACAACGGCCCAAAUAUCCUCAUACAAAAGCUAAAUCCAUGCUGGUUGUGCGAGUCGAGAUCCACGACCAAGGAUCCCCUACACGGAUGCUGACAGCGACGACACCAUGGAGAUCAACGAUCUCGCCUCCUCCAUUGGAGCUGCUACUCGGGCCCUGCAAUACAUCCAUGAUCCAUCGCCGCUUACAAGCCGAGGACACGGAGGAGGCAUACGAGCCAAACCAGCCGUCAAAGACGGUCACCAUGUUGCCGCACUAGCGAGUCGAGCUGCGGGGAUGCCUGCAGUUGAGGACUAGCAGGCUAAAGGCACAAAUCAGCAGAGCAAACUGGUGGGAGAUUUAGAAUUACCAGAGGUAUAAGCCCGACAUGAUUUAGUGUAUAAUUUUGGAGUGAACGGAGAGAACAAGGAAAGGAGAAAGGGGAUCGGGGUAUCAGGCAAGAGCUACGUGUGAAGUUGUGAGUGAAAAAGAAGAAAACUCUUUUUUGUAAGUGUAGAAUGAGAGAGAAGAUGUGUCGUCCCUAUGGGCAUAUGCUUAGAUUGUUGGGCUAAAGCCCAACCAAUUAUACCAGCACAAAAGAAUCAAUUUUUACUUCCACUAAAAAAAG